UGAAAGUUGGAUGUGUGAUUCUUAUACAUGGAUCCAGAUCACAACCUUCUUACAUGGGGAAUUGAGACAAAUUACUGGGCCCAGCACCUAGCAGAUGUUACUGUCUGUUUUGCCUGGAUCUUGCCUACAGAAGGGAUUGUGACAAAUCAGUGGGCCAAGCAUCCAGGGUAAUUUGUGACAUACUGCUGGACCCAGCACCCAGAUCAUUUGACUCUCCUGCCUUGGUCCUGCCCACAGAGGGCAUUGUGACAUGUGAGUGGGCUCAGCAGCCAGAUGAUGUCACCUUCCUGCCAGGACUCUUCCAACAGAAGGGGCAUUGACCUACUCAGGCUCAGUAUUCAGGUGCUGUCUGAGGUUUGGCUGUCAUGCGUGGAUUCAAGUUGCUGUUGAAAUUGUGAUGUGCAGCUGGGCAUGGUGGCUC
Molecule: long non-coding RNA, 421 nt
Filed under: Homo sapiens (human)
Lineage: Eukaryota; Metazoa; Chordata; Mammalia; Primates; Hominidae
Description: long non-coding RNA NONHSAT213550.1
Source: RNAcentral